GGGCUCGUAGCUCAGCCUGGGAGAGCACUAGACUGAAGAUCUAGUUGUCCGGAGUUCAAAUCUCCGCGAGCUCA
Molecule: transfer RNA, 74 nt
Filed under: Nanobdellota archaeon
Lineage: Archaea; Nanobdellati; Nanobdellota
Description: tRNA-Phe
Rfam family: tRNA
About the family: Transfer RNA (tRNA) molecules are approximately 80 nucleotides in length. Their secondary structure includes four short double-helical elements and three loops (D, anti-codon, and T loops). Further hydrogen bonds mediate the characteristic L-shaped molecular structure. tRNAs have two regions of fundamental functional importance: the anti-codon, which is responsible for specific mRNA codon recognition, and the 3' end, to which the tRNAs corresponding amino acid is attached (by aminoacyl-tRNA synthetases). tRNAs cope with the degeneracy of the genetic code in two manners: having more than one tRNA (with a specific anti-codon) for a particular amino acid; and 'wobble' base-pairing, i.e. permitting non-standard base-pairing at the 3rd anti-codon position.
Source: RNAcentral